CAGCAGCCGCGGGAAUACGUAGGGUGCGAGCGUUAAUCGGAAUUACUGGGCGUAAAGCGUGCGCAGGCGGCUCUGUAAGACAGGCGUGAAAUCCCCGGGCUCAACCUGGGAAUGGCGCUUGUGACUGCAAAGCUAGAGUGCGGCAGAGGGGGAUGGAAUUCCGCGUGUAGCAGUGAAAUGCGUAGAUAUGCGGAGGAACACCGACGGCGAAGGCAAUCCCCUGGGCCUGCACUGACGCUCAUGCACGAAAGCGUGGGGAGCAAACAGGAUUAGAUACCCCUGUAGUCCCUGUCUCUUAUAC
Molecule: ribosomal RNA, 301 nt
Filed under: uncultured bacterium
Lineage: Bacteria
Description: partial 16S ribosomal RNA
Rfam family: Bacterial small subunit ribosomal RNA
Source: RNAcentral